UACGAAGGGGGCUAGCGUUGCUCGGAAUCACUGGGCGUAAAGGGCGCGUAGGCGGACUCUUAAGUCAGGGGUGAAAGCCUGAGGCUCAACCUCAGAACUGCCUUUGAUACUGAGAGUCUCGAGACCGGUAGAGGUAAGUGGAACUGCGAGUGUAGAGGUGAAAUCCGUAGAUAUUCGCAAGAACACCAGUGGCGAAGGCGGCUUACUGGACCGGUUCUGACGCUGAGGCGCGAAAGCGUGGGGAGCAAACAGG
This 253-nucleotide ribosomal RNA is filed under the name uncultured bacterium. RNAcentral describes it as "partial 16S ribosomal RNA". It matches the Rfam family "Bacterial small subunit ribosomal RNA", at positions 524 to 776 of the family's 1533-position model. The record is from RNAcentral.